RNAcentral lists this unclassified non-coding RNA (243 nucleotides) under uncultured Ascomycota. RNAcentral's name for it is "sequence contains 5.8S rRNA gene". The stretch from base 1 to 53 matches the Rfam family "5.8S ribosomal RNA", at positions 102 to 154 of the family's 154-position model. Lineage: Eukaryota; Fungi; Ascomycota. The record is from RNAcentral.
GAACGCACAUUGCGCCCCUUGGUAUUCCGAGGGGCAUGCCUAUUCGAGCGUCAUUAUCACCCCUCAAGCCUAGCUUGGUGUUGAGGCCUGCUGUCAAGGCAGCCUCUAAAAUCAGUGGCAGUGCUGUCAGGCUCUAAGCGUAGUAAAUCUAAUCGCUAUAGACACCUGGUGGCCACUCGCCAGAACCCCCCCAUUUUUUAAUGAUUGACCUCGGAUUAGGUAGGGAUACCCGCUGAACUUAAG